RNAcentral lists this long non-coding RNA (1364 nucleotides) under Vigna radiata. RNAcentral's name for it is "long non-coding RNA (VRAD_LNC011628)". The record is from RNAcentral. Lineage: Eukaryota; Viridiplantae; Streptophyta; Magnoliopsida; Fabales; Fabaceae.
CUGGAUGAGCAUGUAACUGCUUUAGUAAUCUGCAAGAUAUAUUAUAAGGGAGACCGUUCGAUCUUUGUUGAUCAUUUGAAGAAUCCAUAGUAGGAUGUAUUCUGGAUGAAGUGUAGAUGUUUUAUUUCCUUGUGACUCAAUUGAGACUCACUGAAGAACUAAUUGACUUCAUGUCGAAGAAGAAGACAAUAAUAAUAUCAAAUAAGCUCUACUGAUAAAGAUGGGUAAAAAUAUUUUCUCUCUGAUUAUGAGAUGCUAGGCCGCCAUUCAUGUGAUAAUGGUGUGCAUAAUGAGAUUUGCAUCAUGCUGUAUGACGACUCCAUAGGCAUUUAUAAUAUCUCAAAGAGCGAAAGUAAAUCUGUUUGGCAGUGAUUCUUUUGUCUCUAUAACUUUAUGACUUCAUGAAGGCUGAUCGAGAAACACGUGUCCCUUAUAACAUGAUGUAGAAUUCAUUCGAAAGAAGCUGUUUUUUAUCCGUGAAACAAAUCCACUGAUAAGGUUCCACUUAAUUUGCUUUGUCUCUUCUUGGGCCAAUCCUGGAAUCAAAAGAAUAAAAAAUUGAUAAAGAAUAUUAGUAUCGAAAGAUAGAACCUGGACUAACCCCGGAACCUCUGCUGUCUUCCAACAAUUUCGUUUUUGUGAUCCUCUUCUAAAAUGAGGCUUGCGAAUCUCUUUUACCAAUCUCUGAUUGAGAGACGAUGGCUUCUGUCAUUAUUAGCGACAGUGAGAGGUUUGCCCAUGGACAAGAAGAUUGUUUCUGAAGUCUAUACUUUUCGAAUUGUUGUUGAUGGGCUAAGAAUAAAAAGUGCCGCCAAGUCGGGGUUGGCGGCGGAAGUCUCUAAAAGUGGCAGAUGUUCCAGCUUUCAGGAAGGUAUCCUCGAGACUUAGUUUCUUGAUUCUAUGACAGGGGCUCCUGCUCGUAGAGAUGACGAUGUUGGUCGAGGCUGCGACAAGGCCGAGGGGAUAAGGUUGAGGAGUUGGUGACAGCGGCUUGUUGUGGAAGAAUGUUUUUUCUCCGUGAUAACAUUUGUUGACCGCGUCCGGUGGUACAUACGAUCAUGGCGGGUGAUGAAUUGACGCUAUUUGCACUGUGAAUCCUGCACCUCAAAAUGAAGGCACAAAGACAACAAGAAAAAUUUCUUUUGCUAGAAUGAAAGAACUAGCUUAUAAUAAUUAGUAGCACACGUUAUGUGAGCCUUAAGCAAUGCUUAAAUGAAAAGGUAAUGCCUGCAUGAUUAUCUCAUGGAAUUCCGAGAUUGAGAUUAUACAUUAUAUUAUAAUAAUACAUAAAACAAGUGCGUCAGUAUGUAUAUUUAUACUAUUAUCCAAUGAUAUAGAUCAAUCUUGGUUGUUAUAAGAUGGAG